RNAcentral lists this microRNA precursor (79 nucleotides) under Aotus nancymaae (Ma's night monkey). Its description in RNAcentral is "miRNA (ENSANAG00000008571.1)". The record is from RNAcentral. Lineage: Eukaryota; Metazoa; Chordata; Mammalia; Primates; Aotidae.
UGGGCUGCGUCCACAGGCACAGCCGAUUUGAGCAUUUUCAUUGAAUUGCCAAACCAGUCGUGCCUGUGGGCACAACCUU